This 253-nucleotide ribosomal RNA is filed under the name uncultured bacterium. RNAcentral describes it as "partial 16S ribosomal RNA". It matches the Rfam family "Bacterial small subunit ribosomal RNA", at positions 524 to 776 of the family's 1533-position model. The record is from RNAcentral.
UACGAAGGGGGCUAGCGUUGCUCGGAAUCACUGGGCGUAAAGGGUGCGUAGGCGGCGCCGUAAGUCAGGUGUGAAAUUUCGGAGCUUAACUCCGAAACUGCAUUUGAUACUGCGGUGCUUGAGGACUGGAGAGGAGACUGGAAUUCACGGUGUAGCAGUGAAAUGCGUAGAUAUCGUGAGGAAGACCAGUGGCGAAGGCGGGUCUCUGGACAGUUCCUGACACUGAGGCACGAAGGCCAGGGGAGCAAACGGG